UUGGCUUAGAAGCAGCCAUCCUUUAAAGAGUGCGUAAUAGCUCACUAGUCGAGUGGCUCUGCGCAGAACAUGUACCGGGGCUUAAGCAUAACACCGAAACUGUGGAUGUUAAUUUAUUAACAUGGUAGGGGAGCGUUCCAAGGGCGUUGAAGGUAGAUCGUGAGGACUACUGGAGCGCUUGGAAGUGAGAAUGCCGGCGUGAGUAACGUAAGGAAGGUGAGAAUCCUUCCCACUGAUUGACUAAGGGUUCCUGGGUCAAGUUCGUCUUCCCAGGGUAAGUCAGGACCUAAGGCGAGGCCGAAAGGCGUAGUCGAUGGACAACAGGUUUAUAUUCCUGUACCACCUAUAUGACUGAUGGAGUGACAAAGAAGGCUAAUCAGAGCCAAUUAUUGGAUUUUGGUCUAAGCACAAAGGAGUGUUGGGUAAGCAAAUCUACCAACUAUAACUCUGAAGUGUGAUGGGGAAAAAGUUCUACGGAACUUCAACUCUGGUGAAGCCAAGCUUUCAAGAAAAACUUCUAGGGCUAAUCAUAUAGGUGCCUGUACUCAGAACCGACACUGGUAGUCAAGGAGAGAAUCCUAAGGUGAGCGAGAUAACUAUGGUUAAGGAACUCGGCAAAAUGACCCCGUAACUUCGGAAUAAGGGGAGGUGUAGCGAUACACCCGCAGGAAAUAGGUCCAGGCAACUGUUUACCAAAAACACAGGUCUCUGCUAAAGCGUAAGCUGAUGUAUAGGGGCUGACGCCUGCCCAGUGCUGGAAGGUUAAGAGGAGAUGUUAGUUGGACGUAAGUCGAUAACAACGAAGCUUCGAAUUGAAGCCCCAGUGAACGGCGGCCGUAACUAUAACGGUCCUAAGGUAGCGAAAUUCCUUGUCAGGUAAGUUCUGACCCGCACGAAAGGCGUAAUGAUCUGGAUACUGUCUCAACCAUAGACUCGGUGAAAUCUUAAUACCUGUGAAAAUGCAGGUUACCCGCUACAGGACAAAAAGACCCCGUGGAGCUUUACUGCAACUUGAUAUUGAAAUCAGAUGUAACAUGUAGAGGAUAGGUGGGAGACUUUGAAGUUAGGACGUCAGUUCUAAUGGAGUCAUCCUUGGAAUACCACCCUUGUUAUGUUUGACUUCUAACUUGCGCCCAUUAUCUGGGUGGAGGACAGUGUCUGGUGGGCAGUUUGACUGGGGCGGUCGCCUCCCAAAGAGUAACGGAGGCGCCCAAAGGUUCCCUCAGAAUGGUUGGAAAUCAUUCGUAGAGUGUAAUGGCAGAAGGGAGCUUAACUGCGAGACCUACAAGUCAAGCAGAUGCGAAAGCAGGGCAUAGUGAUCUUGCGAUCCCGAAUGGAAGGGUCGUUGCUUAACGGAUAAAAGUUACCCCGGGGAUAACAGGCUGAUCCCACCCAAUAGUUCAUAUAGACGGUGGGGUUUGGCACCUCGAUGUCGGCUCGUCGUAUCCUGGAGGUGGAAUCGCUUCCAAGGGUUGGGCUGUUCGCCCAUUAAAACGGCACGCGAGCUGGGUUCAGAACGUCGUGAGACAGUUCGGUCUCUAUCCGUAGUGGGCGUUAGAAAAUUGAGGAGUGCUUUUCCUAGUACGAGAGGACCGGAAAGGACGAACCGAUGGUGUAUCUGUUGUCACGCCAGUGGCAGUGCAGAGUAGCUAUGUUCGGAAGGGAUAAUCGCUGAAGGCAUCUAAGCGAGAAGCCCUCUCCAAGAUGAGUUUUCUUUAUCUUCAAGAUAUAAGAUCCCUUGU
This 1742-nucleotide ribosomal RNA is filed under the name human gut metagenome. Its description in RNAcentral is "bacterial LSU rRNA". It matches the Rfam family "Bacterial large subunit ribosomal RNA", at positions 1101 to 2841 of the family's 2925-position model. The record is from RNAcentral.